AAGACUAUCCUUUCAGGGAUCAUUUCUAUAGUUUGUUACUAUAGAAGUUUUCUGAAGGUGUAGAGCACCAAAGGAU
Molecule: small nucleolar RNA, 76 nt
Filed under: Homo sapiens (human)
Lineage: Eukaryota; Metazoa; Chordata; Mammalia; Primates; Hominidae
Description: Small nucleolar RNA U3
Rfam family: Small nucleolar RNA U3
About the family: Small nucleolar RNAs (snoRNAs) are involved in the processing and modification of rRNA in the nucleolus. There are two main classes of snoRNAs: the box C/D class, and the box H/ACA class. U3 snoRNA is a member of the box C/D class.
Source: RNAcentral